AACGAACGCUGGCGGCAUGCCUAACACAUGCAAGUCGAACGAGACCUUCGGGUCUAGUGGCGCACGGGUGCGUAACGCGUGGGAACCUGCCCUUAGGUUCGGAAUACCUCCCCGAAAGGGGUGCUAAUACCGGAUAAUGUCUUCGGACCAAAGAUUUAUCGCCUUGGGAUGGGCCCGCGUUGGAUUAGCUAGUUGGUAGGGUAAAAGCCUACCAAGGCGACGAUCCAUAGCUGGUCGGGGAGGAGGAUCAGCCACACUGGGACUGAGACACGGCCCAGACUCCUACGGGAGGCAGCAGUGGGGAAUAUUGGACGAUGGGCGAAAGCCUGAUCCAGCAAUGCCGCGUGAGUGAUGAAGGCCGUAGGGUUGUAAAGCUCUUUUACCCGAGAUGAUAAUGACAGUACCGGGAGAAUAAGCACCGGCUAACUACGUG
This 433-nucleotide ribosomal RNA is filed under the name uncultured bacterium. RNAcentral's name for it is "partial 16S ribosomal RNA". It matches the Rfam family "Bacterial small subunit ribosomal RNA", at positions 29 to 507 of the family's 1533-position model. The record is from RNAcentral.